UGCAGAUAUAAAGACUCAUUGCUUAAUUUCGUUCCAAAUGGUUCACCUGUAAAAUACGAUUAAAACGCAAAAGAUGAUGAAGUUUCUGCUUACGGCAUGGAUCAUGUCAAUUACAUUUGGUCCAUACAUAUUAUGUUCUUUACAAGACAUGGAUCCAAAAUGUAGAUACACUGUCCAUCUACCAGAAGCGUCAUGGCACACGGCAUAUAAUGUUUGUGCUUCAAGAAACAGGACACUAGCACAAAUUACAUCACUGAGUAAGAUGUACUUUUUAGA
This is a long non-coding RNA of Saccostrea cuccullata (small rock oyster), 276 nucleotides long. RefSeq lists it as uncharacterized. The transcript has 3 exons. NCBI's taxonomy places the organism in Eukaryota, Metazoa, Mollusca, Bivalvia, Ostreida, Ostreidae. The record is from RefSeq and is a predicted model, not a curated record.